This 494-nucleotide ribosomal RNA is filed under the name uncultured bacterium. Its description in RNAcentral is "partial 16S ribosomal RNA". It matches the Rfam family "Bacterial small subunit ribosomal RNA", at positions 28 to 507 of the family's 1533-position model. The record is from RNAcentral.
GACGAACGCUGGCGGCGUGCCUAAUACAUGCAAGUCGAACGGUUUAGUUCCAAGAGGCUUGCCUUUUGGAACUAGACAGUGGCGGACGGGUGAGUAACACGAAGGCAACCUACCUGUCAAACCGGGAUAACCACGGGAAACCGAAGCUAAACCCGGAUAAGCUCCUUUUUCGUAUGAAGGGGGAGUGAAAAGGUGCGACCCGAUGACAGAUGGGCCUGCGGCGCAUUAGCUUGUAGGUAGGGUAACGGCCUACCUAGGAGAUGAUGCGUAGCCGACCUGAGGGGGCGUACGGCCACACUGGGACUGAGGUACGGCCCAGACUCCUACGGGAGGCAGCAGUAGGGUAUCUUCGGCGAGGGGCGAAAGCCUGACCGAGCAACGCCGCGUGAGUGAGGCAGGCCUUCGGGUUGUAAAACUCUGUUGUUUGGGAAGAAGGGAAAGGGCAGGACCCUUAGGUGACGGUACCAAACGAGAAAGCCCCGGCUAACUACGUG